UGUACACACCGCCCGUCACGCCAUGGAAGCUGGAGGGACCCGAAACCGGUGGGCCAACCGCAGGGGGGCAGCCGUUCUAAGGUCAAUUCAGUGACUGGGGCGAAGUCGUAACAAGGUAGCCGUAGGGGAACCUGCGGCUGGAUCACCUCCUU
RNAcentral lists this ribosomal RNA (152 nucleotides) under uncultured bacterium. RNAcentral's name for it is "partial 16S ribosomal RNA". It matches the Rfam family "Bacterial small subunit ribosomal RNA", at positions 1382 to 1532 of the family's 1533-position model. The record is from RNAcentral.